CGUAAAGACGUCGUCAAACAUUGUGCCCACUGGGCAAUUCCUAUUGAAGUUGGAAGGCAUCUAAUUUUUCCAUAUCCCGUGGAAUUUGUUUCCUACUAGAAGGAGGUUGUAACUAAAUCCGAGGACACCCCUUGAUUUUUAUGAGCCUUUCCCAGGCUUGUAAUCCACCAAUUCAAAUAAUUUCUGCUCUACAAAUUUUGCAACUCUACUAAAAUCAGAGUUGAUCCAAUAACAAUGAUACUGACCUGACUUCAAGCUGCAGCUAUCCCACCGCUGUUACCAAUUGUUAUGUACCAAUUUCCACUAGUGCUGAAUUUAUUCCAAUAAAUUCAUCGGUGAUUAGACGAAA
This is a long non-coding RNA of Belonocnema kinseyi, 349 nucleotides long. RefSeq lists it as uncharacterized. The record is from RefSeq and is a predicted model, not a curated record. NCBI's taxonomy places the organism in Eukaryota, Metazoa, Arthropoda, Insecta, Hymenoptera, Cynipidae. The transcript is spliced from 2 exons.